This 288-nucleotide unclassified non-coding RNA is filed under the name Hevea brasiliensis (rubber tree). Lineage: Eukaryota; Viridiplantae; Streptophyta; Magnoliopsida; Malpighiales; Euphorbiaceae. The record is from RNAcentral.
GUUUCCCCAUCUGUUGCUUCCCCUCUACAAUUCCACUGUCAACAGGGAGAAUUUCUUCAGCUUCUACUUUAUUUUUCAGUAGUUUGUCAUCAAACCCCUUUCUGAACCAAGAAUUUUUCAUGAUCCGUUCAAUUGAAAUCCUCGUGCAAGGGUUUGGGUCUAGGAUAUUGGUUAGCAGCCUUUUCACUUCGAGAGGGAGACCAGUGGGGCAUUUGAAUUGCGCCUUACCAAUCUUUCGAUACAACUCCAUCAGAUUGGAAUCAUGGAACGGGAGAUAACCGGCCAAGA